GGGCCGAUGAGGAAAUCAUUCAUGUAAUACACCAUCUUUCGGGACUGAAUGGCUUGUUUAGCCUUGCUGACAUUCUGCAAUUCUGAGGCCC
Small nucleolar RNA from Mangifera indica (mango), 91 nucleotides. RefSeq annotates it as small nucleolar RNA SNORD96 family. The transcript has a single exon. The record is from RefSeq and is a predicted model, not a curated record. NCBI's taxonomy places the organism in Eukaryota, Viridiplantae, Streptophyta, Magnoliopsida, Sapindales, Anacardiaceae.